RNAcentral lists this ribosomal RNA (597 nucleotides) under Lodderomyces parapsilosis. RNAcentral's name for it is "Candida parapsilosis partial large subunit ribosomal RNA". It matches the Rfam family "Eukaryotic large subunit ribosomal RNA", at positions 54 to 666 of the family's 3401-position model. Lineage: Eukaryota; Fungi; Ascomycota; Pichiomycetes; Serinales; Debaryomycetaceae. The record is from RNAcentral.
AGGAAAAGAAACCAUCCAGGGAUUGCCUUAGUAGCGGCGAGUGAAGCGGCAAAAGCUCAAAUUUGAAAUCUGGCACUUUCAGUGUCCGAGUUGUAAUUUGAAGAAGGUAUCUUUGGGUCUGGCUCUUGUCUAUGUUUCUUGGAACAGAACGUCACAGAGGGUGAGAAUCCCGUGCGAUGAGAUGUCCCAGACCUAUGUAAAGUUCCUUCGAAGAGUCGAGUUGUUUGGGAAUGCAGCUCUAAGUGGGUGGUAAAUUCCAUCUAAAGCUAAAUAUUGGCGAGAGACCGAUAGCGAACAAGUACAGUGAUGGAAAGAUGAAAAGAACUUUGAAAAGAGAGUGAAAAAGUACGUGAAAUUGUUGAAAGGGAAGGGCUUGAGAUCAGACUUGGUAUUUUGUAUGUUACUCUCUCGGGGGUGGCCUCUACAGUUUACCGGGCCAGCAUCAGUUUGAGCGGUAGGAUAAGUGCAAAGAAAUGUGGCACUGCUUCGGUAGUGUGUUAUAGUCUUUGUCGAUACUGCCAGCUUAGACUGAGGACUGCGGCUUCGGCCUAGGAUGUUGGCAUAAUGAUCUUAAGUCGCCCGUCUUGAACCACGGAC